RNAcentral lists this unclassified non-coding RNA (220 nucleotides) under plant metagenome. RNAcentral's name for it is "partial contains small subunit ribosomal RNA, internal transcribed spacer 1, and 5.8S ribosomal RNA". The record is from RNAcentral.
UUUCCGUAGGUGAACCUGCGGAAGGAUCAUUACAGAGUUCAUGCCCUCACGGGUAGAUCUCCCACCCUUGAAUAUUUAUACCUUAGUUGCCUUGGCAGGCCGUGGAAACACCAUGGGCUCCGGCUUAUGCGUGCCUGCCAGAGGAAACAAACUCUGUUUUUAGUGAUGUCUGAGUACUAUAUAAUAGUUAAAACUUUCAACAACGGAUCUCUUGGUUCUG